This 498-nucleotide ribosomal RNA is filed under the name uncultured bacterium. RNAcentral's name for it is "bacterial SSU rRNA". It matches the Rfam family "Bacterial small subunit ribosomal RNA", at positions 8 to 507 of the family's 1533-position model. The record is from RNAcentral.
AGAGUUUGAUCAUGGCUCAGGAUGAACGCUAGCGGGAGGCCUAACACAUGCAAGCCGAGCGGUAUAGAAUCUUCGGAUUUUAGAGAGCGGCGUACGGGUGCGGAACACGUGUGCAACCUACCUUUAUCUGGAGGAUAGCCUUUCGAAAGGAAGAUUAAUACUCCAUAAUAUAUUGAUUGGCAUCAAUUAAUAUUGAAAGCUCUGGCGGAUAGAGAUGGGCACGCGCAAGAUUAGUUAGUUGGUGAGGUAACGGCUCACCAAGACGAUGAUCUUUAGGGGGCCUGAGAGGGUGAUCCCCCACACUGGUACUGAGACACGGACCAGACUCCUACGGGAGGCAGCAGUGAGGAAUAUUGGACAAUGGGUGCAAGCCUGAUCCAGCCAUCCCGCGUGAAGGACGACUGCCUAUGGGUUGUAAACUUCUUUUGUAUAGGGAUAAACCUCUCCUCGUGAGGAGAGCUGAAGGUACUAUACGAAUAAGCACCGGCUAACUCCGUG